GUGUGACAGACAGCUUCUGUGGCACUAAAGUGCUUAUAGUGCAGGUAGUGUCCACUCAUCUACUGCAUUACGAGCACUUCCAGUGCUGCCAGCUGGAGAGCCCCAG
Molecule: microRNA precursor, 106 nt
Organism: Cricetulus griseus (Chinese hamster)
Lineage: Eukaryota; Metazoa; Chordata; Mammalia; Rodentia; Cricetidae
Gene: Mir20a
Product: microRNA 20a
Source: Ensembl